UGCAGUGCCUGGCAGCAGCAGGUGUUGAAGUGCGUGAGUAGAGCAUAGUUACAGUUUGAGGAAAAAAAUAUAUCCUCCUCUGUCUAUCCCUUAGAAAAGCAGAUUGCCGUGGUUACUGUAGUAACCGUGAUCUCAUUGUCCAGCAGACAGGAGUCCUGCACGGUCAGAGCCGCGGUUGCAAAGUGUUGCAUGUGGAUGUCUGCAGCAAACAGGGCUUGGUUUGAGCUUGUGUGUCCUCCUUUCGCAUCCCACUCCUGGUGGUACCUCGGCCCAUCACCCUGAGAAGCAGGUUGGAUGCAGAUGCUGCCUCAUUGCGCCCUGCAGCAGGAUGGAGAUGAGAUGAUUUGGCUGCUUUGUGGUGCUUUUAUAUCUCAUCCUUUGGUCCAUUUGCCACCCCUCUGUGAGUAGGAAAAAUCAGAGAACCCAGCAGGACCUGAAACACUGCUGCAGAAGGAGGAAGACAGAACUUUGAUAAGAAAACCAUGUUGGCAUUAAUCUUUCACACUGAAGCCCAGAGAGGCGCUUGCUCCCUGCCCUGCAUCUGCCCUGUACAAGCCACAUCAUGGCCACGUUGUCAGCCUGGCGCAGAGGGUCAGAUGAUGCAAGACCAACACUGAGCUUCCAGCCCAUCAGCCUCUCCGGAGCCAGAGUGAUGUGGUCUGUCUGCGUUACCUCCUCCAGGCACUUGGUUUCUUGCAGGAAGAUCUGCUCUGGGACUUCAGUAGCACUGAAUACUGAGCAACUGAAAGAAAAGAGGGAGUUUGGACCAAUGUCUCUGCUGGCAUAACUCCACUAAAGCCAGAGGGUGAAAUCCCAGCCCUGCUGAGAUGCACAGGAUUUUUGCCAGACUUAUGACUGCUGAGAACUCUUUUAACAACUCAACCCUGAUUUUGCUUUGGACUAAAACCUCCCCAGGAGUCUUAGCCUACAAACACAUCUCUUGCACACAGAAGAAAAAUGUUCAAUAGCAAGCAAAUGAGCUUGGAAACAGAUUUAACUUCAUCAGUGGAACCCGUGCUGCAGACAUUCAUCAUGGGCUAAAUUUGGUUGGUGUGGUAAGACGCUGACCAUGCAGCACCCGCAGCCAUGGAAAGGUUCCCGCCUUGGCUGCAGUCACACAAUUUAUUCGACAUGCUCCCUGUUGCUCCUGGGAACUGCAUGAGCAGAGUUUUGGUGUGACACACUCAUGUAGUCAGUGCUCCUCAACAUCAUUUUUUAAGACCAGGUUAUUGCAGGAACCCCAGAUACUGACAAUGCAUCUCUGGCUUCUCUCUUUCCACAGCAUCUUGCUGUCAUGGCUUCCAGACUUCUUUUUAGGACUAUCUGUUGUUACAGGGUAGUUAAGAAUCUUCUGGAAGCUCUUGUGGCUGAAGAUACACCCGCAUCAAAGCUCUCUUGCUCCUUCUGUUUCCAGAACAGUGACUACGCCCCAGCAAGGUCAGAAAGCUGGUGCUUUUGUCACCUAUGGCUGCGACUUCAUGGCCUUAUGGUUCUGAGGUUAAAAAAGAAACAGGAAGGAAGAUGCUAGAAAAACAACUUGAAUUAAUAAUAAUUCUAGUUUAUUUAUAAAGAAGCGAGGGAGAAAAAAAAUAAUUUGUUUUGCAGGUCACCUUCACAGCAAAUAGGAGUCAUUCAAUUGCUGCUGGAUAAUACAAAGGGCUGGCAAUUGGAAUGAUGAUUAAAAAAAUAUGAGCAAGAUUUUCAGCGUUUCUUUGUGAAAUAAACAGAGAAAAACUGUUCGUCAAUGCGGAACAGACACUGUAAACGCUGCCUUAAAAGGAAUCUGGAAGGAUGUGUAUGUCCCUGGUAAUAACAUGGAAGAUGACUGGCUCUGUCUUUCCAACACAGUCCCAGUCCCUUCUGGAUCCAGAGGGAGUUUGUGAGCUUGCUGUCCUGCUCCAUGCAUCAAGAUUUCACAGAAUCUGGAGCUCUGCAUCUCUUUUUGCAUUUGAGAAGACAUAUGAAAUACUUCACAGAAUCACCAAAUGUUGUUGGCUGGAGCCUCUUGCGAUCAUCUAGUCCAGCCUCCAUUGAGGAGGGCGAGCCAGAGCAGGUUGCCAAGGAUGGUGUCCAGUCUGGUUUUGGAUACCUCCAUGGAUGGAGACUCCAAAACUUCUCUGGGCAACCUGCUCCUGUUUUUGAGCACCCUCACAAUUAAAAAAAAAGUUUGUGUUCAGAUGUAAUCUGAUGUGUUUCAAUUUGCCUGCAUUAACAUUGCACAACGUUGGCUGGAGCACAGAUCCAGUGUGACAGAACACAUGGCCAAGUGUUUCACAACUGCUGUGACUGAUGGAUUGCUGCUCACAGAAAUAAAAGGCGAAAGCCCAGCUAGC
Columba livia (rock pigeon) is the source of this 2333-nucleotide long non-coding RNA. RefSeq lists it as uncharacterized. The record is from RefSeq and is a predicted model, not a curated record. The transcript has 6 exons. NCBI's taxonomy places the organism in Eukaryota, Metazoa, Chordata, Aves, Columbiformes, Columbidae.